UUCUAUAUUUAUUAUUUUUCGGUAUUAUUCAUAUUUUUAUUCAACGGUUCAGAUUUAAUUUUUUAAAAAUUUAAUAUGUAAUAACAUGUCAUUUUGAGAAAGGUACGAGUUACUAGAUACCCCAAAAAAAAGUAUUUGGUUCUUUUAUCAAACUCUAUUCUCUCUUUGUUUCAUUUUUCUCUCUCGGUCUUUCCUCUUCAUCCAUAAUAAAGAUGUAAAGGGGUAGGAUUCGGGGCGAAUUUCAAAAACCCGAACCCGAAUCCAAAUCCAACGAAUUUUAAAAAAUCAUAUCCAUACCCGUACCUAACUAAAAAUGCGAAACCCGAAUCCUAGCCCGAACCUAAAAUAUUUAUUUCUCUUUACAAUAUUUUAAAAUAUAUUAAAUUAAAUCUAAAGUUUAAAAAUACAUAUUCAAAUAUAACAUCAAAUAUUUAUAUAUAUAUUAUAUAUAACGUAAAAUAAAUUCGGAUUCCGGUUGGUUUCAAAUUCUGAUCAGAUACAAUCAAAAUACAUAUCCAAAUUCAAAUCCGUCUGGUUUUCGUUUCUGACAUUCAUAUUCAAAACUAUAUCCGUUUAGUACAGAUAAAUCGACUGCGUUUGCUUUUGAAUUUGAAUUUAGAUUCAAAUAAAAUUAUAGAUGUCCGUACCCAUUGACAUUCGUAAUCCACAGAUAUUUUAUCAUUUCAUAUCCGUAAUCUACAGAUAUUUUAUUAAAAAAUAUUACAACAUUGAAUUUAAAUUUUUUUUACCUAUAUUUAAAUUUUUAAAAAAAUUUGUGGUAAAAAAUUAAUAUAUAAAUUAGAAAAAUUUAGAAGUUUCUUAAACAAAUUAAAUAUAUUGAAUUCGUUAUUAUCAACAUUAAAUUUGUUAAAAUAGUAACACAAAAUUUCUCUUAUUUAAAUUUAAAUAUUAAAUAUUUAAAUUCAACAUAUUUAGAAAUAUUACUAUUUUUACGAUUCCUAAAAUUUAAAUUAAUGCCUAAAUUAGAAGAAUUCUAAAAUUUCUAAAAUUAAUGCCUAAAAUUUGGGAUAUCAAUUAAAUUUUAAACUAAUGGUUAAAUUCGUGCAAAAUUAAUGCUAAAUUUGGGAUAUUAAUCAAAACUUUCUUAAAACUUUGCCUAGUAUAAUUACAAAAAUACCCUCAUAUGAAAUAACCUUUUAACCUGCUACAUAAUUAUAUAACAUUUUUAACCUUCAUUAAUCAACGGUUAAGAUUUUUUUUUAUAUAAAAUAAAGUACCAAAUCAUUUCUCUAAUAAUAAAACACAACUAGUGGUCCAAAUUUUGUAGAAGUCUACAAGUUAAACCCGCCUAUUUGAUAAAGUUGUAAGNGAGAGAGAGAGAGACGUCGAGAGAGAGCGAGAGAAAGCGGCGUGCGAGAGAGAGGGCCGGGACGAAGGCGAGAGAGAGAUGAAAAUAAUACUGUUAAUUAGAUUUGGAAUUUUUGGAGGGUAAAAUUGUCAUUUUACAUAAUAUGUAGUAUUAACGGGUUUCAGUAAUGCAAGAUACACGACCCCCCUCCCGUUAAUAUUUUUGAUGUAAUCCUGCUCGAUUUGUAAUGCUAUAUUAACGACUAGAUUACAUAGUGGAUUAACCAAACACAGUUAUCCUGGCAGGAUUGCCUGUAAUCCUGUCAGGAUAACUCGAACCAAACGCACCCUUAAGGCUAAAGGAUAUAACAAAAUAAUAAUAUAUAAUAUUAUAUUCUUUUUUCCUAUUAAAAAAAAAUAAAGCAUGCAGGGAAAGUGUACAAGAAAUUCCGCAGCACCUUUGAUCUGGAUGAUUCAUUCAUUCCUAGCACCAAAAGAAACAGAGAUUGGCUUUACUUCGCUCUCUCAGCUGGUGUGGACUAAGCUUUGCUCAUGAAGAGAAAUUAUUGGCUGGACCGUGUCCGUCACCUCCGCUCGUGGACCGCCAAUGUCAUCUAUCAUAUAUCCUUCUCUUUAGAUGAAAGGCAGAUGGUUGGGCGGUCCACAGCUGACGUGGUGAUCUGUGACCAUGCAGGAAUUUCUUGCUGCCGUGUGAAACAGUGAGAGAGGUUGAGAGGGUGAGCAAAAAUUCAAGAGCCGUGUGCAAGGAAGGGAUAUUUUGUGUUGACGUUCAGGGCACACAUUAUGCUGUUGACAAAAGAGAAGCAUGUUUCACCUUCUUUAAUGCUGCGGUGAACUUCUCAGUUCACAUCCUAUCACUCUUUGGUUCUGACACUAAUAAUAACAGUACUGUUUCUGUAUUUAUCAUUUUUCUGUAUUAUUCAUAUUUUUAUUCAACAGUUGAGAUUUACUUUUUUUUUUUUUUAAUUAUGACCUGUAAUAACAUGUCAUUUUGAGAAAGAUACGAGUUACUAGAUACCCCAAAAAAAAGUAUUUGGUUCUUUUAUCAAACUCUAUUCUCUCUUUGUUUCAUUUUUCUCUCUCGGUGUUUCCUCUUCAUCCACAAUAAAGAUGUAAAAGGGUAGGAUUCGGGGCGGAUUUCAAAAACCCGAACCCGAAUCCAAAUCUAACGAAUUUUAAAAAGUCAUAUCCAUACCCGUACCUAACUAAAAAUGCGAAACCCGAAUCCUAGCCCGAACCUAAAAUAUUUAUUUUCUCUUUACAAUAUUUUAAAAUAUAUUAAAUUAAAUCUAAAAUUUUAAAAUACAUAUUCAAAUAUCAAAAUCCAUAUCCGAAUUCAAAUCCAUUAGGUUUUCAUUUCUGACAUUCAUGUCCAAAACUAUAUCUGUUUAGUAUAAAUAAAUCGAUUGCGUUUGCUUUUGAAUUUGGAUUCAAAUUCAGAUAAAAUUAUAGGUGUCUGUACCCAUUGACAUCCGUAAUCCAUAUAUAUUUUAUCAUUUCAUAUUCAUAAUCUACAGAUAUUUUAUUAAAAAAUAUUACAACAUUGAAUUUAAAUUUUUUUUUACUUAUAUUUAUUUUUUUUUUUAAUUUCU
Molecule: long non-coding RNA, 2921 nt
Filed under: Ananas comosus (pineapple)
Lineage: Eukaryota; Viridiplantae; Streptophyta; Magnoliopsida; Poales; Bromeliaceae
Description: long non-coding RNA (ACOM_LNC008175)
Source: RNAcentral